This is a long non-coding RNA of Dromaius novaehollandiae (emu), 3775 nucleotides long. RefSeq lists it as uncharacterized. Lineage: Eukaryota; Metazoa; Chordata; Aves; Casuariiformes; Dromaiidae. The record is from RefSeq and is a predicted model, not a curated record. The transcript is spliced from 10 exons.
GAGACUUUCAUAGCUAGAAUCUGUUUGCUGUGUGUGAAGAAGUAUCUAUGUUUUAAGUAGAUUAUUUUGCCUUAGGAUUUUGUGUCCAGGUUCCUCCUACUACAAUUCCAUCAGCUAUCAUCCUGCUUUAGUUUUAAAUGUCUUCAAGGUUAUUUUGAGUGUUAAUGUAUCUGUGUUGACAACAGAAAAGUUUGUAGAUUCAAAGCACGAGUAAUGCAUUGGAUAUGCAGUGGUUGUCGAUAACCCCCCUUGAGGAGCCCCUUGCAGCCACGUACAGAGUUAUGUGGGUGACACCAGCUCUGUGUAACUCUUUGUUCCCACUUCGGUACUGAAACAAAAGUUGAGCCUGUUGUGCCUCUUGCAGGCAUGUGUAAAUUAAGGAGGUCCUUCUCCUACUAUAACAUGACAUGGGAAGAACACAUCUGCAAAGAGCUGUUGCACCAGUACAGGAGAUGGGCAAACAAAUCCUUCAGGCCACCCUUGCAGUCCAGUCACUGACUGAGGUCAGCUCCACUGCCUUCUAGGUUCACUCAUACACCCAGCCAUCCCAUCUUGGAGUGCUUCCUCAGAAAAGGCAGGAAGUGCUUUGAAAAAGCUGCCUUGUCUUGGCGCUGAAACUCUCUGAGACACAGUUCAAGUGCACAAGGAAAACUUGUUGAACGCUCCUGCCCUACCGCCUGGCUAGGAUCUUGUGCUUUAUUUACGGCUUUCCUUAUUACAUCAAGUCCAGGACGCAGCUCAUCUACGAUUCCACCUUCUCUAGGCAAGAGCUAAUAUUUUGACUCCUCAGACAUAUCGGCCCUACUUAGUCUCAGCACUGCUUGGCCAUGAAAUUCCAUAUGGAUUUUGGGAUAUUUCUCUGCACUUUUUAAGGCCCCUGAUGAUGACAAGAUUCAAGGCUACCCCAGUGUGGUAUUUCCUGCAUUGCUGUAGUGCCUGUACCAAUGACCUUUGCCAUAACAACUGAAACGUAUCUGAUCCUGGAGACUGAACGUCUUGCAUGUUCCCUGAGAGCAGACAAUUUGGAAAACCUUCAGGUCUGAGCCAAGGCUCAUGAAAAAAAAAUAAGGAAUUUGAGAGUCAAAAACCAGAACACCCAGACAAUGAUGGCCAAUGGAAAUAUGUGGAUUCUCUGAUGCCAGUGAACUGCUCAGUGUGUUUUUUGUUGAUAAUGGAUAAUUAUCCAUGAGCAAGGCAGGAAAUUCAAAGCAAUUGAGAGAAUAGGUCAAAUGGAAUCAGUGACAACCAGAUGCAAUAACUCUGCUCCGGGCUCUUUCAAACAUAUCCGGUAUCAUGCAAGCCAAUUAGCUGUCCUGUUUGUGCCUGUUGAAGAAAGAACUGGAUCUGAAUGCUGCUCAGUGAAUUGAUGGCACUAAUGUACCUGUGUGAGCCUGGCCCUGGCUUCUUAGAGCUGGACCCUCUGGAGGCUGCAUUACUGCACUAGAAAUCUGACUGUCCAGCGGGACACUGAUGGGGAGCUGUGAGACACUGAUGGGGAGCUGUGAGACACGGACAGGGAGCUGCUGUGCUGCCCAGGGACCGGACGUGAUGGAUGACGAGCAACGGCUAGAGACAGCACAGUGACUUGCACCUGAACAAGAAGGUCCUUUAAUGAACAUUUCUGCCUCAGUCACUCUGCCAGAUUCAGUGAUGGCUACAUGUUAUUGCUAGUUAUAGUCUGAUAAAAUAUUAUUGUCCCUUCAACAUUUUUCCCCUUUCAGAACUUAAAUACUAUCAGCUGUCUUUGCUGUGUAUAGAUAAUGUAGUAUGAGAAUUCCCUGUUACUGUCCUUGACAGCUCAGGCCAAAAAAGGCGAAAUAACAGGUUAACCUUAUAUGUUUGCCUUAGAAGGAAAAUAAAGUGUGCAAGCCCAGUUCCAAUGCAUCUGGUGAAACUUUGUAUAGACUAGGCUGAGAUUGGUUCCCCUGCAUGAUGUGCAGCUGCCUUUGCUGUGUAUAGAUAAUGUAGUAUGAGAAUUCCCUGUUAUUUCACCUUUUUUGGCCUGAGCUGUCAAGGAUAGUGCUGACCUAGCUUAAAAGGCACACCUGUAACUCUAGUUGUAAAGUGCGAAGGAAUUGCUGUACCUGUAAACUCUUCUUCAGCUUUCCUGAAGCCAGUUCACCUAGCUGCAUACACGGUUUAUCUCCGUCAUUACUACUUUUCUUCCUUUCACCUUAAUUUUGUCCCUUCUCCCUAUGAUUUGCUCUGAUGUACAACUUUAGUGUGCAACCAAUGUCUGUAAACUAAACUCAGCUAAAGGAAAUGUCUUCCUUCUUCCAUCUUGUACCACUGAUUUUGAGACAAUUUAAGCAUAAAUUAAAAUCACUACUACUCUCCUCCACUUUUAUUAAUAAAUUCAUAAAUUCAUGUUGUGAAGAAAAUUGUAAAGAUAUGUGACUGAAGAAAAUACUUCUGCUAUAGCAAGUUUAUCAGAGAAAGGCUAAGAACACACUAUGAGUGUACCCAACAUAAUAGUAGUAGCUAAGUAUCUGUUCAGUCACCACAUCAACUAAUGGAUAACAUGGCUAGAGGAAGAAUGGACCUUUGUAAAAUAUUAAUUGCAACAGAGGAACUUCAGUUGUUUCCUUCUUCCCUGAAUACAAUUAUUCCUUUAAGUAAAGUUACUGAUUCAAAUCCUCAGGAUCUGUAACUAGACUAGUUCCCUGGAUUUCCUUCUUCUUAAUAUCUGAAUUCUUGCUGUCACAGAAGAGAUAAAAGAUGGCUCUUUUAGAAAGGAUUUAACUUUUCCGCAUUAAAACCUAGUUAGCAUCCAUGAUCAUAGAGAGAAGGAAUAUUUCAUAGGUGUGUAAUCCAGAUACUAUUUUUAGUCGGAAAAUAGUGUUUAGUGACAUGUCACAUACUGAUGUUUCAAGUCUAAUACCAAAUCUAAUCCAGAACUGAUAAUUCUAAAUAAAAGGACAAACCUUUGGAAGUUUUGUGAGGGAUAUAUGCAAUUGAAUGGAAACAACAUUUUUUAGAACCUUCACUGGGAGGAAAUAUGAGGCUGAACUAAUAGUAAGAUUAUUAGUCAUCAUUUUCCUGUUAAUAAUGUUUUGAGUAUUCAAUCAGAAAAGAAAAAUCAGAAUGAAAAUACUAAAAAGACAACAUCAUAUGAGCUGAGUAACUAUAUAACAUAAAUAUCAAACAGGGACUGGCCAAGGCCUAUUUGUAAUUUGGAACAGGAAUAUUACUUGUCACAUUUUUCAGCUAUUCCUCAUAAAUUAUGGAUGUAUGUAGAAGGUUAGGAUCAGUUCACAGUAAUUCACUAACCAAUAUAGAGUUUAAAUUAAUCAGGAACAGUAUUCACCAGGAAUAGCUCGAUCAGUGCUUCUCCAUUUAUAGUUGGCGAGUAAAUCAAAUAAAUCUGAGGCCACACCAAAUCCUUUUCACAACUGUGGCCUAAGAGGAUAUUUAAAGGCCUCGAUCUUGUUGAGUCACUGAUGAAAAGUGGUUUGUUUUCUGCAUUGCCUAUAGGAAGAAGAACAAUGUUGAUUUCUUCUCUCUCUCCUCCUCCCAUUCCUCUUUUUGGUUAAUUCCUAAAACAAUAUAAUCCUUCUUUCCUGCCAAUGUCUUGGCAUUUCUUCAUCUUCUGCACAGGGUUUACCCUUAUAUCCUUAAUACUAGCUCUCUGGCUAAUUUUGUGUUUUGUACUUUCACAGUGUUGUAUAGACCUUGUAACAUUAAACUGCUGUGAUGAAUUUUUAAGAAAUAAGAUUAGUUCUGAAAUCCAAACCAUUUUAGCACAUAUUAAUAAAAUUAUUUUCCAAAUUCCAAA